Molecule: ribosomal RNA, 301 nt
Filed under: uncultured bacterium
Lineage: Bacteria
Description: partial 16S ribosomal RNA
Rfam family: Bacterial small subunit ribosomal RNA
Source: RNAcentral
CAGUCGCCACGGUAAUACGAAGGGUGCAAGCGUUACUCGGAAUUACUGGGCGUAAAGCGUGCGUAGGUGGUGGUUUAAGUCCGUUGUGAAAGCCCUGGGCUCAAUCUGGGAAUUGCAGUGGAUACUGGGUCACUAGAGUGUGGUAGAGGAUAGUGGAAUUUCCGGUGUAGCAGUGAAAUGCGUAGAGAUCGGAAGGAACAUCUGUGGCGAAGGCGACUAUCUGGGCCAACACUGACACUGAGGCACGAAAGCGUGGGGAGCAAACAGGAUUAGAUACCCCCGUAGUCCCUGUCUCUUAUAC